CUAGCCAAGCUUCCAAGAAAAGGGGGAUCUCUCUUGCUUCAGAAGUCAAAUUCUCAGUAAUUGGUGUUGUCCUGUGUCUUAUUUCAUUAUCAUGUUUCUUCACCAUUCUUUAUUGGGUAAGAAAGUCGAGAAGCAAACCUUUUGUUGUGCCUUCUGUGGAGGAUCCUUUUGUGAACGUAUCUUAUGCGGAGCUCUUGAAAGCAACAGAUGGGUUCUUUUCUGCCAAUUUAGUUGGCACCGGAAGUUUUGGCGUCGUAUAUAAAGGGAUUCUAGAUUGUGAUGGGACUAUGGUAGCAGUGAAAGUCUUCAACCUUCAACGACAAGGAGCUCUGCGGAGCUUCAUGGCCGAAUGCAAUGCCUAGAGAAAAAUUAGGCAUCUAAAUCUUGUUAAGAUCUUAACUUGUUGCUCGAGCAUUGAUUUUAAGGGCAAUGAUUUUAAAGCUCUAGUUUACGGGUACAUACCCAAUGGAAGUCUAGAGAAGUGGUUGCAUAUGAAGGGCCAUGACCAGCUGAGAAGGAACUUGAAGUUUACUCAAAGGCUAAACAUAGCUAUAGAUGUGGCUUCUGCACUGGAUUAUCUACAUAAUCUUUGUCAAACAUCAAUCAUUCAUCAAGAUUUAAAGCCAAGCAACAUUCUUCUUGAUGAUGACAUGAUUGCUCAUGUGAGUGAUUUUGGGCUAGCCAGGUUCUUAUCUGAGGUUUCUCAAAGCAGCUCAGUUGGUAUGAAGGGAUCUAUCGGGUACAUUGCUCCAGAGUAUGCGAUGGGUGGAAAACCAUCUACACAAGGAGAUGUUUACAGCUAUGGAAUCCUUCUAUUGGAGAUGAUUACUGGGAAGGGGCCAACUGAUGACAUGUUUAAGGACAAUCUAAGCCUUCAUCAUUUUGCUAAGUUGGCCUUGUCUGAAUGAGUAAUGGAGAUUGUUGAUCCACAACUGCUCUUAGAAGAAGUUGAAGUUAUUCAAGGCAAUGAAAAUCAUGCCAACACAAGAAAUGGAAUGCAUGACUGCUUGAUUUCAAUGGUCAAAAUUGGUGUGUUGUGCUCUGCAGAAUCUGCAAGAAAACGAAUGCAUAUGAGAGAUGUUGUUGCUGAAAUGCAUGCAAUCAAGGACUUGUAUCUUGGGGUCGGGAUCCACUGAGACAGACAGGCCAGGUUGCAAAUAUUAGAUGAAGAAAUUAGUUGAGUUGAAGUUUAUGGAGGAGAGUUGGGCUCAAUGGAUCCUAGGUUUUUUGUUGGUUGUUGAGGCUAAGGUGCCCAAGUCCCUGCUGGCCACAAGGAAGCUGCUUGUCGGCUGAAGCUGCCCAGGCCCUGCUGUCAGAUGCUGCUUGCGCUGAAUGUUGACCCAAUGCUGCUGGAAUUUCUGCUGAUUGUUGAGGCUAAGGUGGUGUCUGCGAUGAGCUCCUGACUCUCAUCCAGCUCUGCUUCCUGUGGAUGUCUGUAGCUGCUCCUGCUUGAAUAUCUCCGGGCACCUGCAGUCUGUGUGCUGUGCUGCAUCCUUGGUGCUUCAUU
This is an RNA transcript of Magnolia sinica, 1507 nucleotides long. It is a transcript of the gene named probable LRR receptor-like serine/threonine-protein kinase At3g47570, with no coding region annotated. The record is from RefSeq and is a predicted model, not a curated record. Lineage: Eukaryota; Viridiplantae; Streptophyta; Magnoliopsida; Magnoliales; Magnoliaceae. The transcript has 3 exons.